AACUGUGCCUCUUGGAGCAGAUCAAUGAUGAUUGCUCUAUCUGUAAAUAACAAACAGGGGUUUUUCAAUGGUACCAUUUCACGACCCGAAGGCAAUCAAGAGCUGCUGAAUUCGUGGAUCCGUAACAACAACAUGGUUACUUCAUAGAUCCUCAACUCAGUGUCUAAAGAGAUUUCAGCCAGUCUACUUUAUUCUGAAUCGACGUAUGAGAUGUGGAUAGAUUUGAAGGAGCGUUAUCAGCAGAGGAAUGGUCCACGAAUUUUUUAGUUGAAACGAGAGCUGAUGAACCUUACACAAGGAGAUUCAUCUGUGAGUACUUCACCAGAUUGAAGACAAUUUGGGAAGAACUCAGCAAUUACAGACCUACUUGCUCUUGCGGUAAAUGUGACUGUGGGGGAAGAAAGAAAAUUAUUAAACAUCACCAAACAGAGUUUGUUAUGUCCUUUUCAAUGGGACUACAUGAAUCAUUUGCUCACACUAGGGGGCAAAUACUGUUAACGGAUCCAAUUCCAUUGAUCAAUAAAGUGUUUACGUUGGUGUCUCAAGAAGAGAAUCAAAGGAAAGUAAGCAUGGUGAAUGAUGCAGCAGGAUCCAUGGCCUUUUAUGUUCAAAAUAAUCCAAAAAUGAUGAUCCAAAAUGAUGUUAAAAAGACUACAAGACAACAGUACAAUAGAAUUCAAAAGAAGGAGAGACCAAUCUGUACAUAUUGUUGGUAUAGUGGUCAUGCGGUAGAUAAAUGCUACAAGCUCCAUGGCUAUCUACCGAGGUACAAACCUAGACAGAAAUCUAGUCCAAACAAUCAAGCUGUGGUUAAUCAGAUUUCUAAACGUGUUGCUAAGAUGGACCAGAAUAUAGAUCAGAAGCAAGACAUUGAUGGAAGUGUUGGUAACUUUAUGCAGACACUCAACCCCACUCAAUACCAACAUCUGAUGAGCAUGUUGAGCUCUCACCUUAAGGCUGCAAAACUAGACUCAGAGACAAGAACUAGUUCCGGGAAAGAAUCAGGUGCCUACUUCUCAAUAUCUAUUAAUCCAUCCUUCAAAUCAUCUAGACAUUGGGUGGUAGAUUCAGGCGCCACGAGUUACAUAUGUUAUGACCAUUCAGCUUUUGACAUGUUGAGGCUAAUUGAAAAUGCGUUUGUUACGCUACCAAACGAUGUCCAAGUUCCUGUACGAUCAAUUGGAAAUGUGAAAAUUUCGUCUAACUUAAUACUCACUGAUGUCCUAUAUGUUCCU
RNAcentral lists this long non-coding RNA (1235 nucleotides) under Olea europaea subsp. europaea. Lineage: Eukaryota; Viridiplantae; Streptophyta; Magnoliopsida; Lamiales; Oleaceae. The record is from RNAcentral.